Molecule: ribosomal RNA, 261 nt
Filed under: uncultured prokaryote
Description: partial 16S ribosomal RNA
Rfam family: Bacterial small subunit ribosomal RNA
Source: RNAcentral
UACGUAGGUGGCAAGCGUUGUCCGGAUUUACUGGGCGUAAAGGGAGCGUAGGCGGACUUUUAAGUGAGAUGUGAAAUACCCGGGCUCAACUUGGGUGCUGCAUUUCAAACUGGAAGUCUAGAGUGCAGGAGAGGAGAAUGGAAUUCCUAGUGUAGCGGUGAAAUGCGUAGAGAUUAGGAAGAACACCAGUGGUGAAGGCGAUUCUCUGGACUGUAACUGACGCUGAGGCUCGAAAGCGUGGUGAGCAAACAGGAUUAGAUA